Non-coding RNA from Carica papaya (papaya), 3297 nucleotides. NCBI's taxonomy places the organism in Eukaryota, Viridiplantae, Streptophyta, Magnoliopsida, Brassicales, Caricaceae. The record is from RefSeq and is a predicted model, not a curated record.
UCGAAUUCGUUAGAUUAGAAAAGUGGAAUCCUUGUUUAGUCUUGAUUGUUGAUUUUCUCGAGAAAAUUAGAAUUUUCAGGAGAAAGAACAGAGAGUUCGGUGAUUAUGAUUGUAUGUCAGUUUGUGUGUGUAUCAUUGAUGAGAGAAAUAAUAAAAGGAGAAAAGUUUUCUUCGAGUUAAUCCUAUACGUUUCCUUGUGGAUGAACAUAUAAUACUAUAUCAUAUAUGUUAUUUGCAAAUACGUUUCAUUUUUCUUCGUUAUAUUCUCAUAUUUGGGUUAGGAAAUUUGACGCUGAGAUGCUAAAUGUUUAAGCUGCCGAUUUUCUUAGCCUCUAUAGCUCUGAAAGAAGAAAGGAGGAGUGAUUCUGAACCGCAAAGCUAUAUGGCUGCUGCUGGGGCAACCUACUUGCCUGAAGAAAUUACCAUUCGCAUCCUUGUAAGAUUACCUGUGACAACACUGAUGACAUGCAAGUCUGUCUGCAGAUUAUGUUAUAAUCUCAUAAAUCAACCUGCUUUGGUGGACAUGCACCUGCAUCAGUCCACAGAAACAAGGAACACGAGUCUUUCCUUGAAAUUAACACCGAUAUGACGACAAGAAAGCAUGUUGUGAACUUGCUUACUCAAGAAACAUACAGGGAAUUCAUAUAUCUGAACAUACCAUAUGAAAGAUAUGUCUUGUAUCACAUGAGUGGAUCUUGUAAUGGAUUGUUAUGCGUGUGUGCUCGAAAAAGUUCAGAUCCUGCUGCAGAUUUUUAUUCCAUCAGUCAUGCAAUAAGAGACUCAAAGGCAAUAUGUAGCACCAUGAAAGCUGCCGACUCAAAGGACUGUUUGGUUGGGUAUGAUCCAACUAAUAAGGAUUAUAAAUUAGCAUGAGUUACUGGAUUCCUAAACAAUGCAGGGAAAGAUUGCUCCAAGGCUGAGGUCUAGACACUGUAUGGUAAUUCUUGGAGGUGCACUGACAUCAGUGUGGAAGGAGAAGUACGGUAGGUUUCAAGUAAAGCAUUGCUGAACAUUGCACUUCAUUGGACAGCAGUUAGAGUGAAUAGGGCAUAGAAUUUCAAAAGUUUUUUAAUUCUUUCCCUCGAUAUAAGUAAUGAAGUGUUUGGGGAAAUGAUGGCCCGAGAUUUCGAUUAUGGUCCAAGUACAAGAAAUCUAUCUGUAUGCAAGGGUUCUCUUGCAAUGUUUGUUUCAUAUAUGGAUGGAAACUCAUAUUCAUGCUAUGACAUCUGGUUGAUGAAGGAAUACGGUGUUGCAGAGUCAUAGACUAAUCAGUUUACUAUUAAACCUUCCACUAUAAUGAAGCCAUUAGGAUUUGGCAAUAGUGAAGAGCUGUUUGUGGCACUAAAAGGAGUCAUCGGCUUGUAUGACCCAUGUAUUGGGAAGACCAAGCUUUUCCCUAUUCAAGCACAACCUGUAGCUCCUUAUAUGCUUAAUUACGUGGAGAGCCUGGUUACAGUUAUGAGACAGAAUGGAUUCAGGGGGAGGUUUGAACUUGGUGCUGCUUAAAAUUUUUAGCCUCAUUGUUUUACAUAGAUGGUUAUACAAAAUAACUGAGAAACACAGUUUACGUUUAUACUUUUGUUUUAAUUUUGACUCAAUCUAUUGCAUUUACAUUUAACCUCUUAUCUGCCAGUCUAUUUCCCAACUUUAAAUCUCAAUAUUACAGAAUGAAUUAUCAUUGUCUGCAAACUCGUUUCGUGUCACUUUUGCCUACUAUGCUACAUUGCCAUAUACGAUUCACAUUGAUUUUUUUCAGUCCCCUGCUUUGGGCAAUUGAGCCUGGAAAGAAGUACUUGAAAAUUAAGACUUAAGUGCUUUUGAAGUAAUCUGUGCACAAAUACAUACAUCAGUUUUUCCAAGGUACUACUGAUGUCAGGGUUCCAAUUCUAAUCCUCAUUUUCGCAUUGCUUGAUUAUCUGUCUUGCAGCUUCUAAAAGAUUACCAAGGAUGGGCUUCUCGCAAUACUUCAAGGCAGCCUCUGGGGACUGGUGAGAUUUAGUACUCAAGCAGGUAGCACCAGACGAACUAAAAAAUCUCCUAAGCUAAAAAAAGCAAUUAAUUUAUUAACUGUAAGCAUUGACAAAUCUUAUUCUGUUUAACUGAUAGAGAAGAAAACAGUUAACUUAUUUAGUAAAUCAUAUAUGUCUUAUUUCCUUUUAUACACAAUCAACUAACUAUUCUCUCAUCAGUUGGUGAGUCUUUCUUUCAUUUUUUUCGGCUAAUGUGCUCUUUAGUAAGUCAUAGGUCAGACUGAAGGAGAGAAUCAUUUUUUUUUUUGUCAUUUCUAAAUUUUGAUUUAAAAUGCUUGUAUGUAUUGGUCAAGGACAUCUUUCUUGUUCGUGUGAGCAUUUGGAAGACAUAGUAUGUGUUGCAGCUCUUACACAGGCAUAUCUCCAGAGAAUUCAAAUAGGAUCAUCAACCACGAGCCAAGUUACCACGCUCGCGGAGCAGUCUCCCUAGUUUCCAUUAUGAGAGAAACUCCGGUCUUUAAGGUCAUCUUCUCCGAUUAUAAAUCUGAAUUAACCAGGCCUCCGAAAUUUAAUCAUCGUUUUACAUUUCAAACGCCGAAAACCGAGUAAGAGGCAAAGAGUAAACAGAGAAAAAGAACAUAAAUAACUCAAGUAAAUUUCUACUACUGACCGCAAGAAUGUCAUCUAUAAUCAUGAGAAGCGAAGCCAAGUUCCCUCUGCUUACUGAACGUUUCCACCAGAACCCUCUCUGUUGAUUCAUAAGGAAAUUUUCCCCUUUGAAGCAUCGUAUCAAAUGCUAUAUGAGCUUCAUGUAACUUAUUGUCUCCACAUAAAAUGCAAAGCAACCAGUUGUGGAUACACGGACGAGGGAACAAAUCACGAGCAAGCUUUUCUUCAAAUACUUUGAAUGCAAGGAUGCUCAAACCACUGGCACAAAGACACUGGAGUAAAUUUUCAUAAGACGCCUUACUAUGGUAGAAACCCCUUUUUGGCAUUGUAUGCACAAGCGACAGUGCAUCAAGUGACCUACCAGCCUCGCAAGAAGAUGAUGGUGAUGAUGAUGAUGAGAUUGGGAGGAGCUGAUUCAAGAACUGACUGAGAAUGAUGAAGAAGGUGGGGAAAAGGAGGAGGGGGGGGGCUGGAAAGAUUCAAGCGACUGUGAUGUAUCUCUGCAUGCAUGGCGUCCUUGUCUGUUAAAUUAAUUUUACUGGUUUAUACAUAUAUGUGUGUGUAUAUACAUAUACACACACACGUAUCAUAUAUUAAGUCCUCGAGUCGAUCUAGUAUUUGUAACUCAUUAUUAUCAAUGUAGGGUUUGGAGUUGUAA